This 156-nucleotide ribosomal RNA is filed under the name uncultured bacterium. RNAcentral describes it as "partial 16S ribosomal RNA". It matches the Rfam family "Bacterial small subunit ribosomal RNA", at positions 353 to 509 of the family's 1533-position model. The record is from RNAcentral.
UAAGGGGAAUAUUGCACAAUGGGCGCAAGCCUGAUGCAGCGACGCCGCGUGCGGGAUGGAGGCCUUCGGGUUGUAAACCGCUUUUGUUCAAGGGCAAGGCAGGCUUUCGGGCCUGUUGAGUGGAUUGUUCGAAUAAGCACCGGCUAACUACGUGCC